AGAGAGGUGAGGUGAUGAAGCCCCAUGUAGUCCAGAGAUUCUAGAUUUCUGAGAUAAGGUAUUCAAGGGAGGAGGGAAGCGCCUGCUCUGAUAUGGACUCAAGCUUAGGGCAACCCUCGAUACUCAAUCUCUGAAGAGAUGUGAGGUGAUGAAGCUCCUUAUAGUCCAGAGAUUUCAGGUUUUCCAGACGAUUGAUUUCAAGGGUUGUAAGAGUAGAGGGCAACGUCUCCUCGUCAAAAGACUCCACAUCGUUCCCAGUAAAUAUGAAGCAUGAAAGAGAAGGGAGUGCUUGCAAACCACAUACCUUGAGUUUGAUACAAUCCACAAUGCAAAGUGUGUUUAAUUUGGAGGGUAAACCUCCUUCAGGAAACGAAUCAACUUCUGGAAGUGAGAUCAAUUGCAAAUCUGUAGGGAAGGGAGGAGGGAAUGCAUGUUUUCCGGCAACGACUUCAAAUAUGAGCAACCCUCUAACACAAGCCUUGUCAAAUCUGGGGCAGCUAGUCCUCCUUUGGGGAAAGACACCAAAUUAGGACAGUGACUGAUUGUCAGAUGACAGAGAGCAGGGACAGGUCUCUCGCCUAUACAAAGGGAUUCCAGAUUGAGACAAUGUUCAAUGGUAAGUGUGGAUACCUGGGGUAAAAGGUCUAGCUGGCAGCACUUAAAUGAACUACAUCUCUCGAUUUUGAUAAAAGUGAAAGAAGAGGGAUCCAAACGACUCAUUUGCUCCAUUCCCUUUAGCUGGGGAUCUUGUCUAAAAUGGAGGCACGGCGUGGAUGGUUGAUCUGAUAACCCAAACUGUCCUGUUAGCCCAUUUAUACGUCUUUCAUCGCCCUCAGAUACAUUGAUUACGCCGAGCAUGGGUGCCUCUGGAAUUGAAACCACAAGCUGUGGACAUUCUUGAAUAAAAGCUUCCAUAAACAAGGAAGGUGACUAGGCAAGGCAUUUGUUAACUUGGGGCAAUGUCUUAUGCGGAGCUCUGCAAGAUGAGGGAAAGCACCAGCUACAUCUGUUUUCCAUUCCUGCCAUUUUCGCAUCCCCUCAAACUUUAAUAUUUUGAGGGAUUUAAAUGGCUUCUCCAUCGAAGGGUCACUUCCAUAGAACUCAGAACCAACUGCCACGACUUCAUCAAAUCCUUCAAUAUGGAGCUCUUCUAGAGAUGGCAGCUGCCCCAAUGGUGGUAAGAGGAUGCAGUUCUUACAUCCAUAAAGAAACAACACUACCAUAUUUGAGAAAGAAGAGUUUCCAAGCCAGCCUGGAAACGUUGUACCCCGUAACCAGUAAUGGCAAGCUGUUUCACAUUUUCAGAAGGCUCCAAUUUCUCAAGUACUUCUCUCUCGUGUGGUGUGUCAUCCGUAUUGCCAUCCCACGUCAACCCCAACUCCUCAAUCUUCUUCUUACCCUUCAAAUCGGCAUCCAAAGCAUCUUGAGCAUUUGCAACAUCUCUGAGAUUCCGAAUAGAAAGUUUUUUCCUUAUAUGUGAGAGCUUCCCCAACUCUUUCAUGCUAGACCCGCUAUCUUUUCCCACGAUGUAAGAUUCCAAAAUUCGAAGCUUCGUGAGUUUCCCCAUUUUUGGUGGCAUCUCUUUCAAAUUUGUCCCUUCAAUAUCAAGAUGUUGUAAGUCGACCAAGUUGGAAAGGUUGGAUGGCAACUCCAUGAGAUGUCGGCACUCUUUAACAAUAAGCUUUGCAAAUAGUACAAGGUGCACACACUUUCAGGUAACCUUUCAAUGGCGGUGCAAGAAAGGUCCAAGUGCCGCAAAUGUUUUCAAGUUGCCAAUGGAAUUGAGCAACUGAGAAGAAAUAUCUUUUAGAUGAAUAAAGAUAGCAUUCGCAAGCGCUUAAGAUUUGGCAAGAUGUCAUUCAGUGCCUCAUAUCACUUCCCUUAAAAACAUAGUGGAAACAAGGCGCGCAAAUGUUGGACUCCAUGAAUGCUACGAAAUAUCCGAAGUCCUCGUCAUAUGCUCCUGAAGUGAUUGAUAAAUAACGAGUCCUUUCUGGAAGCGAGCAUGAAUGUUCACCCUCCAACCCAGAGCCCGAUUCAUUAAUACCAAGCUUAAAGCAAAAUUCUCCUGACACGUAUUCAGCUAAAUCACUUAUGAUGUCAUGCAUGCUGAAAUCUGAUUGAACAUGAAGUGAUUGCUGGAAAAGUGACCUGGAGACAAGAUCAUCAAAGUAUUUUUCACCUAUAUCUUCCAUCUCCUCAACUCCUCUGGACUGGCCUAAAAAACCAUGUGCCAUCCAUUCAGUGAUUAAUCCAUUUUUCUUGAAUACAUAACUCUUGGGAAAUAUUGCACAAUAAACAAAACAACGUUUCAGGUGUGAAGGGAGAUAAUAAUAGCUCAAUGUUAGAGCUGGAGGGAUGUUUUCAUUCGACAAUCCCCACAAACUGCUAUUGGAUAUCUUCUCCCAUUGCCUGACAUCUCCUACGGAGUGCAAAAGACCCCCAAGAGUUUUCGCUGCCAGCGGUAAACCUUUGCACUUUCUCGCUAUUUCUCUGCCAAAUGCUUCCAAGUGUGAGACUGCUCCAGAAUUUACACCACUAAAUGCAUCCCUUGCAAACAAUUUCCAGCAAUCUUCAUCGCUUAUUACAUCCAAGCGGUGAGAGGGGAUGACUGUUUGCGUGACUUUUGCUACAUCUUCAUUCCGUGUUGUCACGACAAUCUUACUUCCGUGCUCCACAUACAGCAAAGGUAGCAGUAGUUUAUCCCAUUCAUUGUACUUAAUGUUCCACGCGUCAUCUAGAACAAGUAGAAGUUUCUUCCCUUUCACUGCCUCCAUUAGAGAUUCAUCUGGUUCUUUGGUGCGGCAAGUACUUGCGUUGAUCUUAUCAAGAAUAUCCUUAAUAAUCCUGGCAACAUCAAAUUGUUGGAAGCCCAGACCCAGGCUUUGAGCUCGAAGCACUCAUCUAUCGUUGUAGAUAAGCUGAGCAAGAGUGGUUUUACCAAUCCCGCCCAUGCCCACAAUGGAACGCACAACUAAAUUUGAGCCAUCUGUGUUGUGUUGUGUCAACAAGUGCUCCAUUAUGGCUUCCUUAUCAGCGUCCCUUCCAUAUACAUAGAGAUUCAUUAACCAGUGGAGUUGUUUUCUCUGACAAUGGUCUCCAUCCACCAGUACCUUCUAUGUGGCGCAGAUCACCCUUGUGUUUAAGUAAACGUUCAAGCUUCUCAAGGAUCUUUUGUAACUCUGCUUCCAUCUCUUUCAUCCUUCUAUUAGCUGGAUUUAGAAAUGGAAACCGAUCCUUACCUGCAAUGGUGGACUAAAUAUGUGAGAUAGAAUUCAGGAAAACAUUAUAAUUUAUAAUAUCAAAACAUAAACAUUAAGAUUUUUACAUCUAGUGAAUUAAUAAGUUAAUACCAUUAAAUUGUUGAUGCUAUAAACAUUAAGAUUUUUACAUCUAGUGAAUUAAUAAGUUAAUGCCAUUAAAUUGUUGAUGCUAGCUUAACGUAAUUAAGCAGUGAAAGUCAAGUUUUAAAAAGAUAUUGAUUCAAUGCCAUAAGUGAUUUUCAUAGCCCUUACUAUAUAAUAUUAUUUAUAUAUAUAUAAUGAAAUUAAUUUUUUUUCUAAAAUAAAAAUGGAAAAAUAAUUGUUUAGCAAUUAAAAAGUAAAGUAUUUAUUUUUCAUAUUUAAAAUAAAGAUAUGAGCCUUUCAUGUAUAAAACAUCAUUCCAAUUUCUAAUUGUGCUAACAAAAAAUCAAUGCAUAAUUCUUGGUGAUUAUUAUAUAUAAUUACUAAGAAAUUUAAUAUUUAUAAUAAUGGGUUUUGAAUCUCGUAAGUCCUAACUAUUCAUCACUAAAAAUAUUGAAAGACAAUUCAAUUUUAUAUCCCUUAUAUUUUCAUAAAAAAGUAAGAGUCAUUCAUGUUCUCAUAAAAAUAUAUAUAAUUUAAUUGACAAAAUUUAUAUAAAUAAUUCAGAUUUUAAAAAUAUAGCAUUUUGGAUUUUAAAAAAAACAAACAAACAAAUAGAGGGAUCAAUACAAACAUUUUAUGAGGAAGCAAGGUCUCUAGGUGCAAGAACUUAUGCUUACCCAAUUGCUGUCAGGUCGAGGGGCAUCAAUGUCCUUGGAUCGUAGAUAUUCAUAAUCAAUCUCCUCCGAUAUGUCCUCAGCUUCAUAGACAGCGUGUUUAACAUCAUUAAGCCACUUCUUCACAGCACGAUUUGUAAUCUGCUUCUCCUCCGCAUCGUCGAGUAGUCCGUUGACAGUAUUCAGUGUUUCAUUCAGCUUUUCCAGAAGACCAUCAUCGAGUUUGUGGCUUUGGAAGAAGCCCAGAACCUCACGAGAGGCCAACCUGUCGACCAGAACCUCAAUGAGAGCAGAGAGAAUUGAUCCUCCGAUCAACUCCAGAGACAUGGUGGAUUUUUGCAGAAGGGUGAGGGUGGGAAUAUGUGAGAGAAAAGGAGUUGUGGAAAGCAGGAGCCUUGGUGGAUUUUUGCUAAAGGGUGAGAGAGUGAUUAUGUGAGAGAGAAUGAUAAGCCAAAUAGAAAACCCGAGGAAGCCGGCUUCGAGUGUGUUUGUCCUUGACGCAGUGUAUGCGUUUUCUCUCAAUGUAUAGAAAUGAUGGGCCCACUGCCCAAGGUUGGAACUUGGAUAUGAAAAAGAUUUUUUUUUUUCUGCUUUUUACAUGCUGGAUCACAGGUUAAACCUUCUUGAUCUGCUAAAAAAAACAUUCAAAAAUUAUCUUUGCAUCCUUUUUCUUUCUCCUAUCAUUCAUUACAAUUGCUUGUCUUUCUUUGAACAAUACAAUUGCCCAGAAAAUUCUGGUUUUGCUAUCAACAUGAUACAAUAGCAAUGAACAAGUCUAUUUCAUUAAAAAUUCAGAUUUGUAAUUUACUCGUAAACUAGUCGACUUAUCAGGUCAACCUGAAACUUGAAUGACUCGGUAAAAUACUAGUAAAGACCAUUUUCUUCAAAUGUAUUUUUUUCUCCUAUCUAGGAACCUUUUAUAUAUUUUAUUUUUUUUAUUUAGUUACUCAUUUCAAAAUUCACUAUAUAAAUAUUAGAAGAAUAUUUUAUUUUUUUAAUGUGAUAUUUUGAAGCCCUUUAAUAUAUAUACUUUAUGUUCUUCAAAAAAAAAUUAUGUUUUUUCAAAUGUAGAAUAAAAAACCUUUUUUGUUUAAAUACUUCAACUUAAAAAAAUAAGAUAGUAUAUUUUCAAAGUAGAAUAAAAAAUCUUUUGAAAUAAUCUUUUAAACUUAAUUGCUUACAACAUGUAUAGCCUAUAUCCAUAUAGAUUAUUUUUUAUUUUUUUAUAUAAAAUAUUAAAACCUCAUAUUUUUUUAAUUUUUCCUGAUUGACCCGAGUCAACCCAUGUAAACUAGGACCUAGCCCCUUAGUCGGGUUAAUCCUUAGGCUGAGUUUGAUAACCAUGAUUGUCAUGAGAAUACAACUUUAAAAAUGCAAUUAAAAAGAAAUAAAGUGAUGUGAACAGUUAAAAAAUCAAAUAAAUAGAUAAAACCUUUUCUUUUUUAUUUUAUUAAGGGCCUCUUUUAAUUAUUUUUUUUAUUAUGUGUUUAGAGAUAAAUUUAUGGACACUAAAAUCAACAUUUUUUAUUCUUGAAAUACAACUCACCAAAAUACCUUUUUAUAUAUAUCUAACGACUUUCUAUUUAUACUCAUGACAUCAAAAAAUUGAAAUACGAGGAGAAUGAAGUUUUAGAAUUAAAUAUAAAUAGCUAAAACUACAAGAAUAAAAGAAAAAACUUUAGGAACCCAAAUGAACUUUUAUGAGAAUUUCAAGGAUCAAAACUCAAUAUUCAGAUAGUAAAACGAGUGGGAAAUGAAGUUUAAAACUAAAAUGUAAACACAUAAAACUACUAGGAUUAAAAAUAUUUUUUUAAAAAACUUCAUUUGGUAUUACUCUUAGAACGUAAUUGGUACAAGGCUUAAAAAUAUGGGUGAAAUUAUCACAUAAAUAAUAAUUAUUAUUAUAAGAGCAAAUUUAAAAAGUGUAAAUGUUGGUUUUUAAAAAUGACUGAUGUAUUUGAACAGUUAAAUACUUGUGAAAAAAAGAGAGAAUAAUUUAAUAAUUAACUUCAACUUUUCCAUUAAUUAAUUAAGAUCUAAAAAAUCCAAAAAUUAUAAGUUUCUAAUAUAAAGUUAAAAAAUUUACAUAUAUAUAAAAAAGAUAUUUCAUAAAAUUCUAUUUUUUUUUAAUAAUUCACAGAAACUCAAUGCAAGACUUCAUAUGUUGAAUCUUCUCAUUAUCAACACUUUCAAAUAUAUCUUUUUUGAUAUAAGUAACCAAACAAUCAUUAAAUAAAUUAUCCCCAACUCGAUUGUGUAAUCGACUUUUGACUAAUUUCAACGUUGAAAAUAUUCUCUUUACUGAUGCAAUAACCACGCGUAAAAUUAAUGCUAAAUUUAUCACGUAAUAUAUGUUAUUUAUUAAAUUUAUUACUUAUAUAUUAAAAUGUAUGGGAUUUUCACCGUGUAUUUGUUAUUAUACAAUUUUUUUUUUCAGUUUAUCCAUGACAACUAGAGUGCCGAGCUCAAAAUGCUAGGGUCUGACAUAGUACCCGACCUAAUUACCAAACCCUAGAUUUGGUAACUAUGCAAGACCCAAGCAUCCCUUGCAAACAACUCCCAGCAAUAUUCAUAGCUUAUUGCAUUCAAGCGGUGAAAGGGGAUGACAGUUUGCGUGACUUUUGCUACAUCUUCUUCCCGUGUUGUCACGACAAUCUUACUUCCGUGCUCCACAUACCGCAAAGGUAGCAGUAGUUUAUCCCAUUCAUUGUACUUGAUGUUCCACGCGUCAUCUAGAACAGGUAGAAGUUUUUUCCCUUUCACUGCCUCCAUUAGAGAUUCAUCUGGUUCUUUGGUGCGGCAUGUACUUGCGUUGAUCUUAUCAAGAAUAUCCUGAAUAAUCCUGGCAACAUCAAAAUAGAUAACAACUACUGUAUAAAUAAUAAUUUUUAAAAUUUUUAAUUGAAAUCUAUUUUUUAAUCUAAUUAUUGGACACAUAUGAACAUUUUGACUCAUAAUUAAUUUUUUUAAAAAAAAUUCAUAAAAUUAUAAUUUUUAUGUGAAAUAAUCCACUGUUUAAUACAAUAAACUUCAAUUAAAUGACCAAUUAAGCUAGAUGAUUGAACUUUCAAUUAAUUUGUUAACUUGCGCUAACAUUUACCAAUGUUACUGUUUGAAAAUGUAAAAGUAAGCUAUUUCACUAAAAAAAAAUUUCGGUCUAGCAUCACUAAGCCACCUCUGCACAGCAGGCUUGGUAAUCUGUUUCUCCUCCGCGUCGUCGAGAAGUCCGUUGAGAGUAUUCAGUGUUUCUUUCAACUUUCCGAGAAGACCAUCAUUGAGCUUGUGGCUUUCGUCUCAUUUGCCCUGAAACCAAGCAUACGUUGUGGAAUUGAAAAGUAAGCAAGAGUUGCAAUAAAUCUCGUAAGUUAUGGAUUGAUUUGGUUCUACGAGGAUUAAUAUCACAACCAGCUUUGAAAAGCGAUAUGUUUUUGAUUUUUUGUUGUUUUUUUUAAAUGUUUUUUAAUUAAAAAUAUAUUAAAAUAAUAUUUUUUAUUUAUUAAUUAAAAAUAAAUUAUUUAAAAUAAAGAAAACAAUUAAAUUUUUUUUAAAAAAAAAAUUUAAAAUGUAAAAAUAAACAGCCUUGAAGAAGGUUUUUGAGAGUAUAGUAAUACUUGCUUUUAAAAAAAAAAAUUUGCUUAUGUGUGAGAGCUUCCCCAGCUCUUUCAUGCUAGACCCGCUCUCUUUUCCCACAAUGUAAUAUUCCAAAUAUCGAAGCUUUGUGAGUUUCGUUAUUUUUGGUGGCAUCUCUUCCAAAUUUGUCCCUUCAAUAUCAAGAUAUUGUAGGUUGACCAAGUUGGAAAUGUUGGAUGGCAACUCCAUGAGAUGUCGGCACUCUCUUAACAAUAGAGUUUGCAAAUAGUACAAGGUGCUCACACUUUCAGGUAACCUUUCAGUGGCGGUACAAGAAAGGUCCAAGUGCCGCAAAUGUUUUAAGUUGCCAAUGGAAUUGAGCAACUGAGAAGAAAUACUAAGGCCCCGUUUGUUUGCAGGAAAGUAAAUUCCUUUUGGAAAAUGAAUUCCGGGGAAAGUGAAUUCCUGGAAAGUGAAUUCCGGGAAAGUAUUUUCCGAUGUUUGGUAGUGUUAUAGAAAAUACUUUCCAGUGUUUGGUUGUGUUAUGAAAAAUAAAUUGGAAAAUAAUUUAUUAAUAAAUUAAUUUUUUUUUCAAAUUUAUCUAAUAUAUAUAAAAUAUUUAAUAUAAAAUAUUUAAUCACUUACAAUAAACAAAAUAAAAUCUAAAAUGUAUAAUGAUGAAUUUUUUUUAUUAUUAUAUUCUAUAUUCAUACAUAGCUUAUUUUAUAAAAUAUAACUAUAUAUAUCAUAUCAUAUUAUAAAGAAAUAAGCUUGUGAAAUAUUUUUUACUAUUCUAUGAAACCAUUUAUAAUUUCAUUACAUACGAAAUACAUCCGACAAAAACUAUAGUUUUAAUAAUAUUUUUAGCAUGUAAUAAAAUUGGAUAAAAUAUUAAGGUAUAAAAUUCACUCUAAACUAUUUUUUUUUAAUGUUAAAAAAAUAGCACACUUAUAUUUAUAUAUAUAUAUAAAAAAAAAAAAAAACGGAACAGUGCACUAAAACUGCACUGUUCACUCUUUUUUAGUGAACAGUGUAUGCAAUACACUGUUCAUUGUAAUUGCACUGUUCAAUGAACAGUGCAAUUACCAUGAACAGUUACAGAAAAACACGCAGCUGGCUCAGGAAAGUGUUUUCCGAGAAUUAAAAACGGAAAACACUUUCCUUAUGUUAAACUUAACAUUUUCCUUUGACUGGAAUUAACUUUCCUUUGACUAACUUUCCGGAUGGUUGCCAAACACUGGAAAAUGAGGAAACUGAAUUCCUGGAAUUCAGUUUCCUUGAAACAAACAAGGCCUAAGAGAACAAACAUAUAGACUUUUAAAGGAAAAGAAAAGAAGAAGAUUCAUGGAAGCCGGUUUUAAACUUCCUAACAAUAUUAAAUUAUUUAUAUUAUAUUCACACUUGGUAAAAUUACUAGCCACAACCUUCUUUGCCUCCACUAAUUUCUGAGCAAGAUCAUCGAUUCCUUUUUAUCUCUGGAAAUUCUUCACAAGAUCUCAGGUUAAGAAUAUAAGUUUCGAGUUGAUUAUAAAUUGUUACAAGCUUAACCAUGUAAGCCGGCCGUGCUGGCAUCCCUGACUGUUUGCCGGGGAUCAUUUUGUAAUGAUUUUCUCGUCGGACGUGAUCUUUCUUCUCUACUGUAUUAAUGAUGCAUCAUUUAGUACAAAUCUUUACAUCUUGAAAAGCACCGAUGAAAAUGCAUCUGAUGUUCUCUGAACGUGAAUCUACAAUGGCCUUCGGGCGGCAAUUUGGGUCCUACUUGUAUUGGCUUCUUCUGCUUUAUUUCCUUCUCUAAUAACAGGGGAUGUCCACAGAUUUUCCAUUACAGGACCUGAUCAUCACAUAUGCUUUGUUAUUUGAUAGCAAUUUUCCACUUCUGCGGUCCAUUCCUACCAUCUAUUUGAAAUCUGUGACAUCCCACCAGCUCUUGAAAAGAAGGGUGCAGUGCAGAACCCUACCAUUCUAUGAAAUGUUAGGAGAUGAGGUCAAGAUUUCUGAGUCAUGAAGUUGUCGAUUCUUGCGAAAGGGUGAGAGAGAGAGAAUGAUAGAAGUAGAAAGCUAAUAAACCACGGAAUUCCAUGAUGGGAACACGUGGACUUUAAAGGAAAGGAAGAGACAAGAAAACGCGUGGAAGCGGUAUGUAUAAAUAAAUUUGAUAAUCGAAUAAUAAAAAAGAUAAUUUAUGUGUUUAAUACAAUAAAUUUAAAAAUAUAUAAACAGUUAAACCGUAAAAAUUAUUAUGGAUUAAUUAUCUUCUUGUGGACAUCCAUAAAAUAUUAAUAAUAAGUUUUUUACAUGAGAAGAAUGAUAAAUGAUAAAUUAUAAAUUUAAUAUAUAUUAAAAUAAAAUUAACUUAAUUAGAUAUAUAAAAAUUGAUGAAAGAAAUAUUUUAUAAUAUAAGAAACAAAUCAAGUCGUUAAAUAGAUAAAAUGUUGAUAGCAACCAUAUUCAUUGCACAUUUAAAUUAAUCCUAGAAAUUUUAAAAGUUGUAGUUUAAUUGGUUAAAUUUUAGAUUUUUUUUAAAAAAUUACUGGUUUGAAUUUUAAAAUUUUAAAAUCAUUAAAAAUUUAUAUAAUUAUUAAUUUUAAAAUUUAUAAAAUUAAUUGAGAUAUUGGUGUAAAUAUCAAUAAUACGCUGCCGUGGAUAGCACAUAACUUGGUGCAUCGGAAGCACGAUGUUAAUUUCCAGAGCCACCAAUGAUGCGCCGCCGUGGAUAGCAAAGACGAGUUAAUUUUAGGACUCUUUUGACUAUUCUUCAUGCAAAUAUUUUUUAAAAAAUUAUAAAAUAUAAUUUUCAAUAUAAAAAUAAAUUGAUGUAUUGCCAAUGUGGAAACCCAAAGAAUAUACAACCUUGGUGAAAUUAACAGGUGAAUACGACCGUGCCCUUUCAUUUUUCCAUGCCAAACGCUCCAGAGAGCUAGCGUUCUCUUCUUUGGUUUAUUGACCGUGCAUGUCCCUUACAUAAGGGAAUUUUUAUUUUUGUGAUGUAAAAGUAUUUUUGAAAAAAAAUUAUUAUUUUUCAGUUUUAUUUCAAAUUAAUUUUCAAAAUGAAUCUUUAAUUGUGGCAUUCACUGGGUUCUUCAAGAAUUUAGCACAUGACAUGUUAAGUUUUCAGUAAUUAAAAAAAAAGGGCCAAAUGUUUUCACCUCGGGCCACACCGAAAUGAUAGGCAGGAUUGCCGUCACCGUCACGGGCAAGAAGGAUCCGACAUGUACAAUAUUAAAUUCAUGGAAGCCGGUUUAAAACUUCCUAACAAUAUUAAAUUAUUUAUAUUAUAUUUAGGGCUGGGUCACAAAAUAAAUUUUUUUAAAAAAACUAAAUUAAAAAAAAAAACUUAAAAGGCCAACAUUUCAGUUAUUUUAUUAUUUGAGCUGAAACUAUAAACAUUGUUAAAAAAAUUGUUGAAAAAAAUUUCCUUACAAGGCCGGAGUCGUUGCCUGCCUCCUAUCUCCGCCACUGAUCAUAUCCAUACUUGGUGCUCAAUGUAUUAAUCUUUUAUAUCAGCAUGAUUAAGGCAUCAUCAAGUGGAUUAAGUUUGGAUUGACUGUCUUCAAAUGGGCAUAAAUAAGAUAAGAAUAAUAAGUUUUCAUCCAUGCCUUUAAGAUGAAGGAUGGACCCGAGUUUUAAAGUAUAAAAUAAUAUAAAUAUAUAACUAAAUUAAUUAAGAUUUAAAAAAUCUAAAAAUUAUAAGUUUCUAAUAUAAAGCUUAAAAAUUUAUAUAUGUAUUAUAAAAAGAUGAUUUAUGAAAUUUUAUUUUUUUAUAAUUUAUAAUUGUUCUUUGUAAGAUUUUAUAUGCUGAAAACAUUGUAGGAUUUUCUCAUUAUUAACACUUUUAAAUAUAUCUUUUUUUAUAUAAUUAACCAUAAUCAAACAAUCAUUUAAUUAAUCAUACAAUCAUUUAAUCAAUCAUCUCUGAUUCGAUUGCAUAACCAGCUUUUAAUCAAUUUUAUCGCUGAAAAUAUUCUCUUUAUUGAUGAAGUGUUUUGUAUCCAUCAAUUUUUAAGCAAGAUCAUUUAUUCAUUUUACCUUUGUAAAUUCUUCACAGGAUCUCAUGUCAAGAAUAUAAGUUUCAAGUUGAUUAUAAGUGCUGCAAGCUCAACUAUGAAGAAAAUACAUGGAUAGAAUUAAGCAAGAUGAAUCAACUUUUGCUUAUCACAGGCCAUUAUUUGCCACUCCAACACUACAAAGGGAAAGACUCUUUUCCUUGGCCAACAAGCUAUAUUGGCUACAGUUUUGCCUCGGGUGUAUCAUUUAUUAUUAUUUUUUUUUUUACAAAAAAGUACUUUGAUGCUUUCAAAUUGAUUCAUCAACUUUUAUAUAUAUAUAUAUAUAUAUAUAUAUAUAUAUAUAUAUAUAUAUAUAUAUAUAUAUAUAUAUAUAUAUAUCUUUUAGAUCGUUUUGAUGCGCUAAUCUUAAAAAUAAUUUUUAAAAAUAAAAAAAAUAUCAUUUUAAUGUAUUUUAAUAUAAAAAAACUUUGAAAAACAAUUGUAAUUACACUACCGAAUACUCAUGGGAUAUAAAAUUGUGACCUCAGGGAACAAGUCAGCUUAUUGAGGAGAAGUAGAAAUAUGAGCAUUACAAAUCAAGCCUGCUUGAGCUUCCUCUAGGCAAUCAAGUUAAAGACUAAAUUUGAUGCAAAGUACAAAUCUUAAUAGAACUCGUUGAAAAUAAUUUAGAUAAUUUUUUUCUUAAUUUCCUUAUAUUGUUGGCAAAAAGUUUGCGAAAAGGUGGCAAACUUGUUCGCAAUACAGAGUUCCAAGUACAACAACACAUGCAAGCAAACAUCCGACUCUGUCAAGAUCUCUGGAUCUGUUGCUUGCACUGGGAUCAAACAUAUCAUUUUGGAUGUCCUGAUUUUUGAAAUGCUGCAUCGUUGGCCAGCAGUUAUCCCUUUCAGGUUUUACCUUAAUUUUCUUUUCACUUUGCCAGCAUCCUCAUUUCAUCCUGGCCAUAGGCCAUCUAUCGAGUUUAAUCCUGAACAUAGAUCCAUCAAGAAUAUAAUGCUAUUAGUAUUAAGCAUCUGUUAAAUAUUCUGAUCAAAGUUUUUCUUUUAAAUAUCUCAUAAAAUACCAUGUUAGCAAGAUCACUAUUGUUCUUGUUUUCAUUUCUUAAUAACUCUGCUUUGAAAACAGAAUCUCAAAUUACUUUAAACCUCAACAGAAAACAAUAAGAAAACAGGAAUUAUGAUCUUGGGCUGGCAUUUGCUGAUUCACUGUAAAUCAUGCCUUUGUUUUUGAACAAAUUGCUGGGAACCUAUCUCUACCUAAUGUGGUGAUGGGCUGUGCGGUGAAGAUCUGUUGUGUGAAAAUGCCAUGCUCCAAAAAUAGAAUUUAAAACAAAGCAGAUGCAAGGCAGAGAAUUUAGUAAAUACCGGAGCACGUUGGACAAAUGACAGGAGAGUGUUACUGCAUAAUUCUUCAUCCUCUAAUUAGAAAUUUUUAUACUGUGGAUGUGAGAAAUUUUGGGCCAAUUUUCCCCCGUCUCCCUUUCACACCUUGUGGCCAGCAAAGGACAACCGAUAAUCUUAAGAUAUUCAAGGGAGGAGGGCAGCCCUUCUUCUGGCAUGAACUCAAGCUUAGGAGAAUGCGAGAUCAACAAUUUGCGAAGAGAGGUGAAGUGUUGAAGCCCCGUAUAGUUCAGAGAUUUAAGAUUUCUGAGAUCUGAGAUUUGAAGAGAUUCAAGGGAGGAGGGCAGCCCCUCACCUGGCACGGACUCAAGCUUGGGAGAACUAGAGAUACGUAAUUUACGAAGGGAGGUGAGGUGCCGAAGCCCCUUAUAUUCCAGAUCUUCAAGAUUCAAGAUUUCAAGGUUUUCAAGGGAGGAGGGAAGCAUGUCUUCUGGAAGGGACUCCAGCUUAGGACUCUUGAGAAUCAAUGUGCGAAGAGAGGUCAGGUGCUGAAGCUCCUUGUAGUCCCGACCUCGUUGAUCCCAUAAUUGAAGGCAUUCAAGGGAGGGAGGCAGCCCCUGCAACGAUGCAAGCUUUGGACAAUUCCAGAUCUUCAAUUUGCGAAGAGAGGUGAUGCGCUGAAGCCCAUGGUUCCAGAGAUUCCAGUGUCAUGACAUGAAGGUAUUCAAGGGAGGAGGGAAGCGCCUGCUCUGAUAUGGACUCAAGCUUAGGGCAACCCUCGAUACUCAAUUUCCUAAGAGAGGUGAGGUGAUGAAGCCCCUUAUAGUCAAGAGACUUCAGAUUUCCCAGACGUUUGAUUUUAAGGGUUGUGAGAGUAGAGGGCAACGUCUCCUCGUCAAAAGACUCCACAUCGUUCCCAGUAAAUCUGAAGCAUGAAAGAGAAGGGAGUGCUUGCAAACCACAU
This 13902-nucleotide long non-coding RNA is filed under the name Populus tremula. RNAcentral's name for it is "long non-coding RNA (PTRE_LNC001439)". Lineage: Eukaryota; Viridiplantae; Streptophyta; Magnoliopsida; Malpighiales; Salicaceae. The record is from RNAcentral.